Molecule: ribosomal RNA, 440 nt
Filed under: uncultured bacterium
Lineage: Bacteria
Description: partial 16S ribosomal RNA
Rfam family: Bacterial small subunit ribosomal RNA
Source: RNAcentral
CCUACGGGAGGCAGCAGUGGGGGAUAUUGCACAAUGGGGGGAACCCUGAUGCAGCGACGCCGCGUGGGUGAAGAAGCGCCUCGGCGCGUAAAGCCCUGUCAGCAGGGAAGAAAAUGACGGUAACUUAAGAAGAAGCCCCGGCUAACUACGUGCCAGCAGCCGCGGUAAUACGUAGGGGGCAAGCGUUAUCCGGAUUUACUGGGUGUAACGGGGGCGCAGACGGCGAUGCAAGCCAGGAGGGAAAGCCCGGGGCCCAACCCCGGGACUGCUCUUGGAACUGCGUGGCUGGAGUGCAGGAGGGGCAGGCGGAAUUCCUGGUGUAGCGGUGAAAUGCGUAGAUAUCAGGAGGAACACCGGUGGCGAAGGCGGCCUGCUGGACUGCAACUGACGUUGAGGCCCGAAAGCGUGGGGAGCAAACAGGAUUAGAUACCCGGGUAGUC